This 695-nucleotide ribosomal RNA is filed under the name uncultured Eubacteriales bacterium. RNAcentral's name for it is "bacterial SSU rRNA". It matches the Rfam family "Bacterial small subunit ribosomal RNA", at positions 63 to 764 of the family's 1533-position model. Lineage: Bacteria; Bacillati; Bacillota; Clostridia; Eubacteriales. The record is from RNAcentral.
CGGGAUUUAGUAGACAGAAGCUUCGGUGGAAGAUUACUAAUGAGAGCGGCGAACGGGUGAGUAACGCGUGAGCAACCUGCCUAUGACAGUGGGAUAGCCUCGGGAAACCGGGAUUAAUACCGCAUAAAAUCGUAGAAACACAUGCUUUAGCGGUCAAAGAUUUAUCGGUCAUAGAUGGGCUCGCGUCUGAUUAGCUAGUUGGUGAGAUAACAGCCCACCAAGGCGACGAUCAGUAGCCGGUCUGAGAGGAUGAACGGCCACAUUGGAACUGAGACACGGUCCAAACUCCUACGGGAGGCAGCAGUGGGGAAUAUUGCACAAUGGGGGAAACCCUGAUGCAGCGACGCCGCGUGAACGAAGAAGGUAUUCGUAUCGUAAAGUUCUGUCCUAUGGGAAGAUAAUGACAGUACCAUAGAAGAAAGCUCCGGCUAAAUACGUGCCAGCAGCCGCGGUAAUACGUAUGGAGCGAGCGUUGUCCGGAAUUAUUGGGCGUAAAGGGUACGCAGGCGGUUUAAUAAGUCGAAUGUUAAAGAUCGGGGCUCAACCCCGUAAAGCAUUGGAAACUGAUAAACUUGAGUAGUGGAGAGGAAAGUGGAAUUCCUAGUGUAGUGGUGAAAUACGUAGAUAUUAGGAGGAAUACCAGUAGCGAAGGCGACUUUCUGGACACAAACUGACGCUGAGGUACGAAAGCGUGG